UGUCCUGUUUUACUGUUAACUUAGUUAAAAUAUUUAAAUAAGAUGAAAAUUGGUCUUCACUUUUUUAUAUUGUUCCAUGUUUUCUACGUCUCUGCAGCACUACAUCUCAACGGUACCGGAGAAGAAUGUCUACGACUGUUUGAAGAUAUCUAUAUGAGUGGUGUACCAGAGAUAAAACAAUGGAAUUACAAAGUGAUAGAUAAAAUCGACGUG
Hyposmocoma kahamanoa is the source of this 213-nucleotide long non-coding RNA. RefSeq lists it as uncharacterized. The record is from RefSeq and is a predicted model, not a curated record. Lineage: Eukaryota; Metazoa; Arthropoda; Insecta; Lepidoptera; Cosmopterigidae. The transcript is spliced from 3 exons.